Molecule: non-coding RNA, 1800 nt
Organism: Picea glauca (white spruce)
Lineage: Eukaryota; Viridiplantae; Streptophyta; Pinopsida; Pinales; Pinaceae
Source: Rfam
UACCUGGUUGAUCCUUCCAUUAGUCAUAUGCUUGUCUCAAAUAUUAAUCCAUGCAUGUCUAAGUAUGAACUAAUUUAAACUGUGAAACUGCGAAUGGCUCACUAAAUCAGUUACAGUUUCUUUGAUGGUACCCUACUACUCGAAUAACCAUAGUAAUUCUAGAGCUAAUACGUACACCAAGUCUCGACUCUUUGGAAGGGAUGAAUUUAUUAGAUAAAAGGUCGGUGCCGACUUGCCCGCUUCUUCUGUGAAUCAUGAUAACUCGACAGAUCGCACAGACCUUGUGUUGGCGAUGCUUCAUUCAACCCUAUCAACUUUCGAUGGUAGGAUAGAGGCCUACCAUGGUGGUGAAGGGUGAUGGAGAAUUAAGGUUCGAUUCUGGAGAGAGAGCCUGAGAAACGUCUACCACAUCCAAGGAAGGCAGCAGGCACGCAAAUUACCCAAUCUUGACAUGGGGAGGUAGUGACAAUAAAUAACAAUACUGGGCUCAUCAAGUCUAGUAAUUGGAAUGAGUAAAAUCUAAAUCCCUUAACGAGGAUCCAUUGGAGGGAAAGUCUAGUGCCAGCAACCGCGGUAAUCCCAGCUCCAAUAGUGUAUAUUUAAGUUGUAGUUAAAAAGAUCAUAGUUGGAUAUUGGGUCGUAAAGGUCGGUCCGCCUACUCGGUGUGCACCUGCCCUUCCGUCCCUUUUGUCGGUGGUGUGCUCCUAGACUUAAUUGGCUGGGUCGCGGUUCCGGCGUUGUUAGUUUGAAAAAAAUAGAGUUCUCAAAGAAAGCUUAUGCUCUGAAUACAUUAGUAUGGAAUAAUGCGAUAGGAUUCUGGUCAUAUUGUGUUGGCCUUCGGGACUGGAGUAAUGAUUAAUAGGGACUGUCAAGGGCAUUCGUAUUUCAUUGUCAGAGGUGAAAUUCUUGGAUUUAUGAAAGAUGAACCACUAUGAAAUCAUUUUCCAAGGAUGUUUUCAUUAAUCAAGAAUGAAAUUUGGGGGCUCGAAGACGAUCAGAUACCUUCCUAGUCUCAACCAUAAACGAUGUCGACCAGGGAUCGACGGAUGUUGCUCUAAGGACUCCACCGACACCUUCUGAGAAGUCAGAGUGUUUGGUUUCCGGGGGGAGUAUGGUCACAAGGUUCAAACUUAAAGGAAUUGAUGGAAGGGAACCACCAGGAGUGGAUCCUGCAGCUUAAUUUGAUUCAACAUGGGAAAACUUACUAGGUCCAGACAUAGUAAGGAUUGACAGAUUCAAAGAUCUUUAUUAAUUCCAUGGGUGGUGGUGCAUGGACAUUCUUAUUUGGUGGAGCGAUUUGUCUGGUUAAUUCCGAUAACGAACGAGACCUCAGCUUGCUAACUAGCUACACGGAGGUUCCCCUUCGUGGACAACUUCUUAGAGGGACUAUGGUCGUUUAGUCCAUGGAAGUUUGAGGCAAUAACAGGUCUUUGAUUCCCUUAGAUGUCCUGGUCUGCACACGCACUACACUGAUGCAGUCAACGAGUUUUUCUCCCUGCUUCGAGAGGAUCGGGAAAUCUUCUCUCAAAAUGCAUCAUGAUGGGGAUAGACCAUUGCAAUUAUUGGUCUUCAAUGAGGAAUUCCUAGUAAGUGUGUCUCAUCGGCUCAUGUCGAAUACAUCCCUGCCCUUUGUACACAUUGUAUGUCACUCCUACCGAUUGAAUGAUCCGGUGAAGUGAUUGGAUCGCAUUAACAAGGGUGGUCCAUCGCCGACGAUGUCGUGAGACAUGGUUACAAGAAUUCAACAUCGUCAAAUAGUGAUGAAGUCAUCCAUGGACCUGAAUUAACACCAAAUCAUUU